GCAACACGGGAGCGGCAGACGGGAGAGUAACACGUGGGAACGUGCCCUUUGGUUCGGAACAACCCAGGGAAACUUGGGCUAAUACCGGAUAAGCCCUUACGGGGAAAGAUUUAUCGCCGAAGGAUCGGCCCGCGUCUGAUUAGCUAGUUGGUGGGGUAACGGCCCACCAAGGCGACGAUCAGUAGCUGGUCUGAGAGGAUGAUCAGCCUCACUGGGACUGAGACACGGCCCAGACUCCUACGGGAGGCAGCAGUGGGGAAUAUUGGACAAUGGGCGCAAGCCUGAUCCAGCCAUGCCGCGUGGGUGAUGAAGGCCCUAGGG
This 321-nucleotide ribosomal RNA is filed under the name uncultured bacterium. Its description in RNAcentral is "bacterial SSU rRNA". It matches the Rfam family "Bacterial small subunit ribosomal RNA", at positions 84 to 422 of the family's 1533-position model. The record is from RNAcentral.